AAACUAAGGUGCAAGACAGUUGU
Molecule: non-coding RNA, 23 nt
Filed under: Arabidopsis thaliana (thale cress)
Lineage: Eukaryota; Viridiplantae; Streptophyta; Magnoliopsida; Brassicales; Brassicaceae
Source: RNAcentral